AUGGCGGGCUCCUGGCGAGCUGCAGCGCUGGCGGUGGCCAUGGUUUGUUGGGCCGCGAGCAGCUGCGUGCUCGGGUUCCCGGAGGAAGAUUUGGUGGGGCGGCUGCCCGGGCAGCCGAUCGUGGGGUUCAGGCAGUUCGCCGGGUACGUGGACGUGGACGGCAAGGCCGGGAGGAGCCUCUUCUACUACUCCGCCGAGGCGCAGGACCACGCCGCCGGCAAGCCGCUCACGCUCUGGCUCAACGGAGGUCCUGGCUGUUCUUCGGUUGGAGGCGGCGCGUUUACGGAGCUUGGCCCAUUUUAUCCCAGAGGAGAUGGUAGAGGCCUUCGAUUAAACAAGAAAUCAUGGAAUAAAGCUGGAGUUGGAUGGUCCUACUCCAACACUUCGUCAGACUACAAUACAGGAGAUACACGGACUGCUAAUGAUAUGUACAAAUUUCUGUUGGGUUGGUAUAAGAAGUUCCCGGAGUACAGAUCAACAAGCUUAUUUCUCUCUGGAGAGAGCUACGCAGGGCAUCAUAUACCGCAGCUAACCGAUGUUCUUCUCACGCACAAUGAGAAAUCAAAGGGUUUUAAGUUCAAUAUAAAGGGGGUAGCUAUCGGGAAUCCGUUACUCGAGCUUGACAGGUAUAUCCGCGUGAGAUAUGAGUACUUCUGGUCUCAUGGUAUGAUCUCCGAUGAAAUAUUUCUGGCCAUAAAGAAGGAUUGUGAUUUUGAGGAUUACACAUCCGGUAACCCCCACAAUGAGAGCAAGUCAUGCAAUGAUGCCAUUGACGAGGCAAUAGCUAUGGUUGGAGAAUAUGUCGACGACUAUGAUGUCAUGUCUGUGACCAAGAUCAGUUUAGGAGUGGAUGUUUGCAUGUCAUAUGAAGGUAACUUCUACUUCAAUCUUCCAGAAGUGCAGCAUGCUCUUCAUGCUAAUAGAACACAUCUACCUUAUAGCUGGAGCAUGUGCAGUGAUGUGCUGAAUUUCACCGGAAAGGAUGUUUACACCAACAUCUUGCCUUUACUUCAGAGAAUAGUGGAACAAAAGAUACCAGUUUGGGUAUUCAGCGGCGAUCAAGACUCUGUCGUGCCCCUCUUGCGCACCCGAACCCUUGUGCGAGAGCUAGCUCAUGCAAUGGGGCUGCCCGUCACAGUGCCGUACAGUAGUUGGUUCCGCAAAGGCCAGGUUGGAGGCUGGGCAACCGAGUACGGUAAUAUGCUCACAUUUGCAACAGUGCGGGGCGCAUCUCACAUGGUGCCAUUUUCACAGCCAGACCGAGCUCUCGGCCUAUUUCGCUCGUUUGUGCUUGGACAGAGGCUCCCAAACACAACCCAUCGACCCAUUGACUAA
RNAcentral lists this ribosomal RNA (1335 nucleotides) under Triticum aestivum (bread wheat). Its description in RNAcentral is "partial small subunit ribosomal RNA". The record is from RNAcentral. Lineage: Eukaryota; Viridiplantae; Streptophyta; Magnoliopsida; Poales; Poaceae.